UAAGGAAAAAAAUAUUGAAGAAGACUUAAGCAAGCCUUUUUCUUUUAAUAUUGAUGACCACCAUGAUAUAGUUGGGCCAAAAUUAUAGCUUGAGGCCGAAAACCCCUUGCAUCGGAGCACUCUCCUAACUUCCUUUUCAGUGGUGGUGCACUCAUAAGUGGAUCCAACCAUCGGUUUUUUGUGUCUUCUGAAGGGCACCCUCUUUCCACCUUUAUUAUAAAACUCUUAACAACUUCUUCAUGAUUGUUUCUAGCCAUGAUCGAUGAGAAAAGGUCAUGAAUCAGGGGAGAAAGAUUUAGAAAAACGAGGCCUUACCACAAAAAACCAUGAGAGCGAAGCACACAAACAAAUAUAAAGAAAAGUCAAGACUAAAAAAAUGAAUGGGGAAAGGAAAUUGAAAAACCAAUUGAAAACUUGAAGAAAUUCAAAAAGUGGUCACAGAAAGAGCACAAAAAAACUUGGAAAUUUUGAGACAGCAAAAUAACUUGAAGAUUGACGAAAAAACUUAUAUAUAGACCUCUUCCAAAACGGUGCGUUUCAUUGCACAAACAAUUUGAAGCCUCACAACUGAUGUCACCCAAACACGUGUCUCAUGCAGCAGUGCAUCAUUAACCCUAUUUCCUAUGAACAACGGUUCAAUUUUU
RNAcentral lists this long non-coding RNA (644 nucleotides) under Gossypium barbadense (sea-island cotton). RNAcentral describes it as "long non-coding RNA (GBAR_LNC004940)". The record is from RNAcentral. Lineage: Eukaryota; Viridiplantae; Streptophyta; Magnoliopsida; Malvales; Malvaceae.